This 1691-nucleotide long non-coding RNA is filed under the name Gallus gallus (chicken). Lineage: Eukaryota; Metazoa; Chordata; Aves; Galliformes; Phasianidae. The record is from RNAcentral.
CCCAUGAGGGCUGCAUCCAUGGCUGGACACAAGUGGCUGCAUCUUGUUCUAUGAUCAAUCACUUAGAGCCCAACCAUGACUUUGUAAGCGUAGGCACAGAAUUGUUCUUAACCUUCUGAACUGGAAAAUACAUUUCAGAAGAAUCCACUGCUCUUCUGUCAAAGCAAAACCAACAAGAAUAAUCUCUUUUAAAUUACAAGCAUUAAAUGACAGUGGGGAACAGUUAUCAUUUUGUUGCUCUCUAUGCAUAUGUGCUUGCGUAUAUGCUUUUGCGGUCGUGUGAAGCCCGUGGGUCUCCAGCAGCCUGGAGUUUAAAAACGCUUUUGAAGGAGUGGUUAGGGCAAGCAGAAGAGCGGGGAUUUGAUCUGGCAAGCUGAAGUAAUGGAUGUUGAUUUCUGCUCAUUAAGAACCAUGUCACAGAACUGCAGCCUAAACAACAUGCAUCCCUCCGACCGCCUGGCAUUUCCUCAUGCUUCAAAACUGUAUUCCUCUUCUUCCUGGGAACACUAAUGAAGAAGGAAGUCAUUUGGAAAAAGCCACACUAACUCUGCAUAUAUUAUUUUUUCUGUGAUUGUGCCCAUCAAAUUGGAUUUUAUUAGGAUUUCAACACUCUUAAAUUCACAGCUGCACAUGCGUGGCUUUCCAUAACAGAAAUCAAUUAGAUAUUGAUGAAAGCUAAAGAAUCUUAGCAGAAUAAUAACAAACAGCAAAUACAAAGCAUGUCAAUUAAUCCCAGAGGUGAUCUGGUUUCUCCCCUACUGCCUGUGGGAAAUGAGAAAAUUUCAUGGCACCGACAAAAUGACAUCCAUGGCUCUUUCUUUGGAAGGCUGCCGAAGCAUCCUUUCCACCCCUGGAGGGUUUGAGGCAUGCUGAUGCGUUCAGCUGGCCAGACAGAGAGCAUGAACCUCUAACCCCACACACAUACCUCCUUGCUUGCUGAGCUACCUCCCCAGGUGGUCUGAAUUUCCCAGUAGAUGUUCUCCAGCACUCUGGCAGAACUGGGCUCUCCACUGUCAGCCACAGGGCUCACUGUUGACUGUGAAAAGAUGUUGUGAAAUGUCAGAAUGUACCAACAAGGUUAGACAAGUGAAUAUUACAGGCUAUUUCAUGCUAACAAUAUAUCAAUGCAGAAAAAAAAUACUUCAGUAGCUUUUGUUAAGAGAAAGAUCUCACAGGCUGAAUGUUGAGAUGUGGGAGUCACUUCCCUCGGUUCCUACUUUCUGUACGCGGUCAUAAAUUGCAGUUAAAUGUUAUUCUCCUUUUGACCCAUAAACUGUUAUCCAUCAGAUGGAAAUACUGAAAACUCCCUAACUUUCAGGUGGGCAGAUAACCUGUUACAAAAAACUGCACAAAAGAACGGCUCUGGAGUUUUGAAUCAUGAUUAUGACUAACAACAUAUUUUAGGAACUCAGUGCACAAACAGCCUCACUCUAAUCUCUCAGCAGGUUCACAGCCAGGCAGCUCUCUCAUUUGAUAACCAGAGAGACCGGAAUCAGGCCCAAGACAGUCAUUUUUAUACCACUUGGUAUCCUAGUAAUGGCCACAACAAGGGAAUAUGAACCUUUUGUCUUCAUACUUCUACAGACACAUUUCUUGUUUAUUUAUUGCACUCCAUUCACAGGUAUUUCCAAAAGCCUGGUAUCACUCCUGCUUCUGUAGCUCUUUAAAUACUCAUUCAUGGCAGAAAAACG